NNNNNNNNNGAUUGAUAGCUCUUUCUCGAUUCUGUGGGUGGUGGUGCAUGGCCGUUCUUAGUUGGUGGAGCGAUUUGUCUGGUUAAUUCCGAUAACGAACGAGACUCCGGCAUGCUAACUAGUUAUGCGGCCCCGAGCGGUCGGCGUCCAACUUCUUAGAGGGACAAGUGGCGUUCAGCCACACGAGAUUGAGCAAUAACAGGUCUGUGAUGCCCUUAGAU
Molecule: non-coding RNA, 221 nt
Filed under: Salmo salar (Atlantic salmon)
Lineage: Eukaryota; Metazoa; Chordata; Actinopteri; Salmoniformes; Salmonidae
Description: Eukaryotic small subunit ribosomal RNA
Rfam family: Eukaryotic small subunit ribosomal RNA
Source: Rfam by way of RNAcentral